UGAAGCAGGGCAGACCGCUGUCUCCAUCCCUAAUUUGGACCUGCAUCCUGCAGACAAACCUUGGUGCUGACAGUCACCGAUACCUUCACAGUACCACAAAGGGUGUUUAUGGAAUUGGGCACACACGUAGAAGGAGGGAUGAGCCUCCAGAACAGGAUGGUAAAGAAGGUUCUGACAUUAUAUUUACAGUGUAAAUAUAAUGCAGUUAUAUCACAAAUACAAGCUGGUGUCACCUGUACUGAGAACCCUGGUGCAGCACUGAGCCCAGCGCUGGCAGUCCCUGAGUCUGAUUGCAGCCUGCUUGGGUCUGAGCAACAGCAGCUGUGCAGGUUUCUGUAUGUACAUCGAAUUUUCAUCUAGGGAAAUGAUAGCCAUGCCAUUGUUCACUCAAAAGACAGCAGCCUUGUUCCAGUGAAAGCUUUGCAUUGCACCAGGACAUUCUCCAGGAGCGCUCUGCUGUAUGCAUUCCCACUGGUUGGGGCAGAGUUUCAUUUUUGUCCCUUUUCACUCUACCUUUCCCAAACCUGGUGUGUCCGAAAGCACUGUCAGGCUGAACUGCAGCACACCCCAGGACGCACCUCUGAGAAAAUACGAGAGCAGUGCUGUGGGUGCACACAUGGUUAGAAGGUAGCAUGCUGCAGUCACAGUAAUUUCAGAACACAAAGCAGUGGAAGUUCUGCAGUAAAGGCUUUGUUCUCACGGCGCAUUAGAAACUACUCCAGC
Molecule: long non-coding RNA, 723 nt
Filed under: Gallus gallus (chicken)
Lineage: Eukaryota; Metazoa; Chordata; Aves; Galliformes; Phasianidae
Description: long non-coding RNA NONGGAT004907
Source: RNAcentral